AUGUCAAGUUAUAAAUCGUCUCUGGGCCUAAUCUAUUAUUUUACAUUAUCAGAUCAAAACAAUUGUCUUCCGAUUUAUCCAUUUGGGAAUCAAUUCUUGGAAUUUCCUGCUGGAAUUCCUUUGGUUUCCCUUUAUUGUCUUCAGACAACUCCUUCUCCAUCACCUCCGUUGUUUGCUUCAAAAACAGUAAUCACAUGCCAGCCUCUUAUGAUAAGAAUUGCCUCAUUCUUAGUUGAUGGAGUUGCGCCUCACAGUGCCACAUUUGCUGACUCCUCGGUUAACAGUUUGUCGUGUACUCUCAAAGAGUUUGAUCUAUCAGUUCCAUUUGAUGCUGAAGAAAUUGUAAAGUGCAGUGCAACUAGGACCGCUUGCUCCGAGUAA
RNAcentral lists this ribosomal RNA (381 nucleotides) under Triticum aestivum (bread wheat). Its description in RNAcentral is "partial small subunit ribosomal RNA". The record is from RNAcentral. Lineage: Eukaryota; Viridiplantae; Streptophyta; Magnoliopsida; Poales; Poaceae.